GACGAACGCUGGCGGCGCGCUUAACACAUGCAAGUCGAGCGAGAACCCAGGCUUCGGCCUGGGCGAAAGCGGCGAACGGGUGAGUAACACGUGGGUAAUCUGCCCUCGGCAUCGGGAUAGCCCGGGGAAACCCGGAUUAAUACCGGAUGGCCCGACAGCUCUUCGGAGCGGUCGGAAAAGGUAGCUUCGGCCUCCGGCCGAGGAGGAGCCCGCGGCGGAUUAGCUUGUUGGUGAGGUAACGGCUCACCAAGGCUCCGAUCCGUAGCUGGUCUGCGAGGACAAUCAGCCACACUGGGACUGAGACACGGCCCAGACUCCUACGGGAGGCAGCAGUGGGGAAUCUUGCGCAAUGGGCGAAAGCCUGACGCAGCGACGCCGCGUGAGGGAAGAAGGCCUUCGGGUUGUAAACCUCUUUCAGGAGGGACGAAGCCACUCGGGUUAAUAGCCCAGAGGGUGACGGUACCUCCAGAAGAAGCCCCGGCUAACUACGUGCCAGCCGCCGCCGUAA
RNAcentral lists this ribosomal RNA (508 nucleotides) under uncultured bacterium. RNAcentral describes it as "partial 16S ribosomal RNA". It matches the Rfam family "Bacterial small subunit ribosomal RNA", at positions 28 to 523 of the family's 1533-position model. The record is from RNAcentral.